CAAGUGUGGUGGCACACACCUGUAAUCUAAACUGCCAAAGAGGAAGAGAUUGGCAGAACUCUUGUGUUCAGGAGUUCUUAGUUGCAGUGGGCUAUGCCAAUCUGGUGUCUGAAUUAAAUAGAGCAUCAGAAGGAGGAUCCUCAUGGAGCAGGGGGCCACCAGAUUGUCUAAGAAAGGGGCAAACUGACCCAGGUCAGAAAUGGGGUGGGUCAAAGUUCCUAUGCUGAUUAGUAGUGGGAUUGGGCUUGUGAAUAGCCCCUGCUAUUCACAGCAGCCUGAGAAAGGCUGGGAGAAUCAGUCUUUA
Molecule: signal recognition particle RNA, 304 nt
Filed under: Vombatus ursinus (common wombat)
Lineage: Eukaryota; Metazoa; Chordata; Mammalia; Diprotodontia; Vombatidae
Description: Metazoan signal recognition particle RNA (ENSVURG00010000959.1)
Rfam family: Metazoan signal recognition particle RNA
About the family: The signal recognition particle (SRP) is a universally conserved ribonucleoprotein. It is involved in the co-translational targeting of proteins to membranes. The eukaryotic SRP consists of a 300-nucleotide 7S RNA and six proteins: SRPs 72, 68, 54, 19, 14, and 9.
Source: Rfam by way of RNAcentral